UACGUAGGGUGCAAGCGUUGUCCGGAAUUAUUGGGCGUAAAGAGCUCGUAGGCGGUCUGUCGCGUCGGAUGUGAAAAUCCAGGGCUCAACCCUGGACCUGCAUUCGAUACGGGCAGACUAGAGUUCGGCAGGGGAGACUGGAAUUCCUGGUGUAGCGGUGAAAUGCGCAGAUAUCAGGAGGAACACCGGUGGCGAAGGCGGCAUCCUGGACCGAUACUGACGCUGAGGAGCGAAAGCCAGGGGAGCAAACGGG
Molecule: ribosomal RNA, 253 nt
Filed under: uncultured bacterium
Lineage: Bacteria
Description: partial 16S ribosomal RNA
Rfam family: Bacterial small subunit ribosomal RNA
Source: RNAcentral